UACGAAGGGGGCUAGCGUUGUUCGGAAUCACUGGGCGUAAAGCGCACGUAGGCGGAUCUUUAAGUCAGGGGUGAAAUCCCGAGGCUCAACCUCGGAACUGCCUUUGAUACUGGGGAUCUCGAGUCCGGGAGAGGUGAGUGGGACUGCGAGUGUAGAGGUGAAAUUCGUAGAUAUUCGCAAGAACACCAGUGGCGAAGGCGGCUCACUGGCCCGGAACUGACGCUGAGGUGCGAAAGCGUGGGGAGCAAACAGG
Molecule: ribosomal RNA, 253 nt
Filed under: uncultured bacterium
Lineage: Bacteria
Description: partial 16S ribosomal RNA
Rfam family: Bacterial small subunit ribosomal RNA
Source: RNAcentral